RNAcentral lists this ribosomal RNA (505 nucleotides) under uncultured bacterium. RNAcentral's name for it is "bacterial SSU rRNA". It matches the Rfam family "Bacterial small subunit ribosomal RNA", at positions 15 to 507 of the family's 1533-position model. The record is from RNAcentral.
GAUCUUGGCUCAGGAUGAACGCUAGCUACAGGCUUAACACAUGCAAGUCGAGGGGAAACGACAUCGAAAGCUUGCUUUUGAUGGGCGUCGACCGGCGCACGGGUGAGUAACGCGUAUCCAACCUGCCCACCACUUGGGGAUAACCUUGCGAAAGUAAGACUAAUACCCGAUGAUAUCUCUAGACGACAUCUGAAAGGGAUUAAAGAUUUAUCGGUGAUGGAUGGGGAUGCGUCUGAUUAGGUAGUUGGCGGGGCAACGGCCCACCAAGGCGACGAUGCGUAGGGGUUCUGAGAGGAAGGUCCCCCACACUGGUACUGAGACACGGACCAGACUCCUACGGGAGGCAGCAGUGAGGAAUAUUGGUCAAUGGGCGAGAGCCUGAACCAGCCAAGUAGCGUGCAGGACGACGGCCCUAUGGGUUGUAAACUGCUUUUAUACGGGAAUAAAGUGGGCCACGCGUGGUCUUUUGCAUGUACCGUAUGAGUAAGGACCGGCUAAUUCCGUG